CACACACACACACACACACACAGGAAGACAAAUACACAGUGGCUCAGGUAAACAAUGGAAUACAUUAUUGGAACUUGUGUUUUUCUUCAGUCUUCACUGAAAAGUAAAGGAAGAUAGGAACAAUUUAUUGCAAAUGAAGGCACAUUGCAGGAAAUGAGCAGCACCGAGAUUUGGAACCCUUUCCUAGGUUACUCUGUGAUGAAAAUUGACCCAUAUUUGUCGGAAUCAGAACCUGAAGUUUCCAAAAGACAUCUCACGCAUCAGAGGCACACUUGUUUUACAUCCUUCCUCUCCUCAGUGCACAAAGAAUUAACAUAGCAAAGGAAUGCAUGAGGGCACAAAUGGUAGGAGUUCUUUCAGGAUUAGCAAUAUCAAUCAGUCCUCUUUUGUCGAGCUCACACAUUUUUCAGAAGACGUUGCAGACAAGCACACAUACAUGAGUCACACACUCCAAAAGUGACCAGGAAGCGGACAGUAAUGGCACCCAUCUGUCCCAAUCGGUAUCUGGGACCAUUGUAUGACCAGUAGUCAUAUGAAAUGUGCUGUGUACAUUGAAGAGAUAAGUUUGUAAAUUCCAUUCCAAAGAAAACAAGAGUAUGACUGGAAAAUGUUGUUGGAAAAGAAAGACGUAAAAAUGUAAGGAUUCUAUUACGUGUCCUUUGGGAAUCAAGCCAGGACAAUAGCUGCCUGUGUUGUUACAGAACACAUUCAGAAUUGAGAUACAUUGUUCUUUGAACCUUCCGUAGGUCAUACAAUCCUUCUACCAAUAUUAGAAGAAAUUGCAGCUUGUCGAUUUGAUCACCGUGGCAAUAAAAAUGCCAAACAGUAACGAGUGAUCUGUGUGGUUGGAAAUUUUUUAAAAGUUAGGAUAAAAUAUGUAAUGUAUUUACAUGCAUUGGAACACUUGGGCAAAAUGUUCAAGGGCAGAGUGAGAGCCACCCUCAGGUCACACCUGACCAAUGAAUGAUAUGAGUUAUAACAACUUUGAACACACGAUGGAUAGAGAUGCUUCAUCAGCAGUUUGGGAUCCUCUCUUCUCUUUCGGUGUAUUGGGUAAGUAUGAGUUGCCUAGUCAUGGGCCCUUAAACUUGGAAUAUACAAAAGGAGUCUUAAGUUAGGAUGUUUUUCAGAAAUAUAUAGAGAAUGGAAACCAUAUGCCUAUCAACGUAAUGUCCUUCGUUUUGCCAACUUCUUAAGGAAACUCUGGGAAAUGUCUGCAGGACAGAAGAAUCCAAUGUUUCCAGGGAUGGCAUGGUAUGAAAUGCAGAUAGCGGGAAUGAUAGUGGAUGGAGGGAAGAGGAAUGUAAACUGACAGAACUUAAAAUGGGAGAAGCCCAACACCAUACAAGUUGGGUGGGAACAGUCAACCUGCAGGAGAAGUGCAUGCAAAUGGAUGGCUUAGACAUAAAAUGGCAGGGGUCUCACAGGGGCCAAGAAACCAGGCGUCCUAAGGAGCUAUGGAAGUAGACGAAUCUCAGACAACUUACCG
Molecule: long non-coding RNA, 1489 nt
Filed under: Equus caballus (horse)
Lineage: Eukaryota; Metazoa; Chordata; Mammalia; Perissodactyla; Equidae
Description: lncRNA (ENSECAG00000055200.1)
Source: RNAcentral